Molecule: ribosomal RNA, 465 nt
Filed under: uncultured marine eukaryote
Lineage: Eukaryota
Description: SSU rRNA
Rfam family: Eukaryotic small subunit ribosomal RNA
Source: RNAcentral
UUGCGGUUAAAAAGCUCGUAGUUGGAUCUCGGCAGGUAGGGGGCGGUUCGUUUCUGACGGCACUGCCCCAUUUACCUGUGUUUUUGACGGAGGUUUCACGGUGAUUUUCAUCGAUUGUCGUGAUACGCCGUCAGGUUUACUUUGAAAAAAUUAGAGUGCUCAAAGCAGGCUACAAGCUUGAAUAUUUGUGCAUGGAAUAAUGGAAUAGGAAGUCGUUUCUAUUUUUUUGGUUUUCGGAAAUUGACUUAAUGAUUAAUAGGGACAGCCGGGGGCAUUCGUACUCAGACGACAGAGGUGAAAUUCUUGGACCGUCUGAGGACGAGCUACUGCGAAAGCAUUUGCCAAGAGUGUUUUCAUUAAUCAAGAACGAAAGUUAGAGGUUCGAAGGCGAUCAGAUACCGCCCUAGUUCUAACCAUAAACGAUGCUGACUAGCGAUCCGUAGCUGUUUUCUAUGUAGGCUCUAC